Molecule: long non-coding RNA, 758 nt
Filed under: Rattus norvegicus (Norway rat)
Lineage: Eukaryota; Metazoa; Chordata; Mammalia; Rodentia; Muridae
Description: long non-coding RNA NONRATT003651
Source: RNAcentral
GACAGGAGCCUAGCAUGACCAUCAUCAGAGAGGCUUCACCCAGCAACUGAUGGGAACAGCUGCAAAGAACAACACCCAAGCAUUAGGCGGAGCUCAGGGAAUCUUAUGGAAGAGGAGGAAGAAGGAUCGAAGGAGCCAGAGAGGUUAAGACCACCACAAGAAAACUUAAAGACUCUUCUAACCUGGGCCCACAGGAGCUCACAGAGACUGAGCCACCAACCAGAGAGCAUGCACAGGAUGGACCUAUGCCCCUACACAUAAGUAACAGACGUGCAGCCUGGUCUUCAUGUAGAUCCCCUGACAGCAGAACAGGAGCUGUCUCCAACUCUGCCGUCUGCCUUUGGGUGCCUUUCCCCUAACUACUUUGUCUAGCCUCAGUAGAAGAUGCACUUGGUCCUACUGCAACUUCAUAUGCCAAAGUAGUUAAUAUCCAUGGAUGGCCUCCCUUUCUCUGCAGAGAAGACAAGAGGGGAGUGUGGGAAGGGGAGAGGAGAGUGAGAGGCUGGGAGGAGAAGAGGGAGGGGAAGUUUAGAUCUGAUAUAAAAAAAAUUAAUGGAAAAAAGAGGAGUAGGUGUGGCCCUGUUGGAGUAGCUGUGGCCCUGUGUCCACUAUGACAACAGGAUAUCCAUCCAUAAGCGAAAGGAAUAAAUAAGUGAAUGCCACCCUAUGUCACAUCCUUCAUGCAAAACACUAAGGCAGCAGAUCACAGACUUUAAUGUGAAACACAAAACUGUGCUAGCUUUAUGACAAAAAUCUUU